CCCGCGCCGGGGCUGGGCCCGGGGCCGCGGGGGAUGCUCUGCGCGUCCCCCCGGGGCUGCUCCUGCCGUGCCCCGGCGCUGUUUGGCUCGGGCUUUGUGUCUGCUCCGCGUUUUCCUUUUUCCUCGCUGUUGUCCUCUUUUCCCCCCCUAGUGCGUUUAUUUUAAUUUUUACGUUCUCGCACCCGUUCCGUCCUUGCCGAGCAUCAGCCCAGCCGGGCGCUGCAGCGCUUUGGGGCCUACGCGCAAUGGUUGCAUUUCAACUUCUCCCAACUUUCCUCUCCUGGUGUUUGUGCAGGGCGAGAAAAGAUGAGUCCGUGGGCAAAUGUCAGAGGGAACUUGCAGGUUUUUUCCUCCCUCUUCCCCUUUGCCUGGGGUGCUCACAGGAGCCGGAGCCAGGGGAGGCUGCUGAGGUUCCUCCAGCUCUCACAAGGAAACGCUCCAGCACGGAUCAUAUUGUCUCUCUGCGCUUCUGGAGUCGUGCCUGCUUCUCAGUUGUCACUUUAGAUGCUUGAAUGACCCUGUUUUUCUCUGUAGUGGGAGUAGUACGCUUAAAGAUUCAAUUAGUGUUGUGCAAAUCAAGCAGCGAAGUUACGUAGUUUAAUUAUGUUGCAUUUAAUUAGCAGAGAGAAAUCGAUGCUGCUUUGUAUAUUUCAUGGUGGGGAAUAGCUCGGCUGUCUGCUCCUGGGCAGCGCAGGGCAGCAGCCCUGGUGGGGCUGUGCGGAGCAUCCAGGCUGUGCGGAGCAUCCAGCCUUCCCAGGACAGCAGCCAGGGAUGCGGGAGGGAUCCCCGGUUCCAAGGAUGCGGUCGGUGGCAUCGCCUUCUGGCCGUGCUCCUCGCAGCCUGGUGCGCUCCGUGCGUUCUGCAGCGGCCCCGGGGGAUGAGCAGCCUGCCAGCAGCGCGGCACCUCGGCGUGCUUCCAGCUCUUCGCGCCGAGUUCCCGUCUAACAAGUGUGCCCCGCAUCAGGGGACAAAUGUGACUCCAGAAAUAUCGCAGGUUCAUCCCCUGCUCCAUCCCUUUCAGAGGAUCCCAGCGUAGCUUUGCUCCUGCAGAGUUUUUCCAUGCUGGUCCCUUACUCCAGCGAGCAGGGAAGGUGUUAGCAGAGUACACAGACCUCGGGCCAGCUCUGGAAUAAUUGCCACUUGUUUAUGCUGGAGGUGAAUUUGGCUUGGGAUUUAGUAACUGUAGACAGUAAUUACAGACGUAUAAAUAAGUGAUCACGUUUUGUUUAUUCGCGUGCAGUAAAUAACCCUGGGAGAAUAGUAAAUAGAGCUCCACACCAGAGAGGCAGCGUGAGGAGUUCAGGCACAGGAAGAUGACUCUGGAGACACACACAAACUCAGCACGGUUCCAUAAACAAUAGAACAGAGAGGCCAAGAAAUACCAUAUAAAUAUAAAUACCAUAUAAAAUGCCAUAUAAAAUACCAUAUAAUAGCAAUAAAAUACCAUAUAAAAGUCAUACCCUGCACAACCUAGAGACCAGCCACACUGAGCUCCCACUGAAGAAUUCAAGGAUCGUGCAAGAUCCAUCCCCAGGUCAGUGCUGUGAGUGCACUUGGAAGAUGCAGUGGGAGAAGCACUGCUGCAGGGAUAUUUGUUCCAGUGGAAGUCUAUCACAGUGAUGAUUUGCUGAACAGAAGAAACUAUAAAUCUGGGAAUCUGUCGUCUUUCAACUGCUUGUACUUUCAUUUCUUUAGGAAGGAUAUUAAAAAAAAAAAAUCCAGUCCAAAUAUAAAUGGGAGGAGAAGAGGCAGGAAAGGAGGGCUGGGAGCCAGCUGUUCCAGAGCAGGAGUGUCUCCAUCUCUGCUUCUGAGUGUUUGAACUUCUGAUUGACACAAACAGUUUGGUUAAUAGCGUCACCGAAUAAACACAGCCUGUGACACCACAGCCACUCAGGGGUAAUGUUUGUCAAAACGUGUACAGUAGCAGAACAAAGGAUACACACUCAUGAAACAAAUGCUGUGAGGUCCAAGGUAGCUCUCAGUUGAGCUAGUGGGAGCUGGAGUUGUUUGUUACCGUAGCACCCAGUUUGGAAGAUCCCUUGUACCCCAGCAAAGGCUUCUGGAAAGAAAGGAAAGAAUCAGCGGAGGUUAAAAUCAAAGAAUAGCUACUCACAGCUG
This is a long non-coding RNA of Passer domesticus (house sparrow), 2118 nucleotides long. RefSeq lists it as uncharacterized. Lineage: Eukaryota; Metazoa; Chordata; Aves; Passeriformes; Passeridae. The record is from RefSeq and is a predicted model, not a curated record. The transcript is spliced from 3 exons.